GGGCCGGUAGAUCAGUGGCAGAUCGCUUCCUUCGCAAGGAAGAGGCCCGGGGUUCAAAUCCCCGCCGGUCCA
This 72-nucleotide transfer RNA is filed under the name Halapricum salinum. It matches the Rfam family "tRNA". Rfam says of the family: Transfer RNA (tRNA) molecules are approximately 80 nucleotides in length. Their secondary structure includes four short double-helical elements and three loops (D, anti-codon, and T loops). The record is from Rfam by way of RNAcentral. Lineage: Archaea; Methanobacteriati; Methanobacteriota; Halobacteria; Halobacteriales; Haloarculaceae. RNAcentral also lists the same sequence under 4 other names.